UCCUACGGGACGCAGCAGUGGGGAAUAUUGCACAAUGGGGGAAACCCUGAUGCAGCGACGCCGCGUGAGUGAAGAAGUAUUUCGGUAUGUAAAGCUCUAUCAGCAGGGAAGAUAAUGACGGUACCUGACUAAGAAGCCCCGGCUAACUACGUGCCAGCAGCCGCGGUAAUACGUAGGGGGCAAGCGUUAUCCGGAUUUACUGGGUGUAAAGGGUGCGUAGGUGGCAGGGCAAGUCAGAUGUGAAAGCCCGGGGCUCAACCCUGGUACUGCAUUUGAAACUGUUCUUCUUGAGUGAUGGAGAGGCA
RNAcentral lists this ribosomal RNA (305 nucleotides) under uncultured bacterium. RNAcentral describes it as "bacterial SSU rRNA". It matches the Rfam family "Bacterial small subunit ribosomal RNA", at positions 337 to 659 of the family's 1533-position model. The record is from RNAcentral.